This 3144-nucleotide ribosomal RNA is filed under the name Cladonia stygia. Its description in RNAcentral is "16S ribosomal RNA". It matches the Rfam family "Bacterial large subunit ribosomal RNA". The record is from RNAcentral. Lineage: Eukaryota; Fungi; Ascomycota; Lecanoromycetes; Lecanorales; Cladoniaceae.
AAACGAAGUGAAUUGAAAUAUCUUAAUAACUUCAGGAAAAAAAAUCAAAAGAGAUUUCUUAAGUAAUGUGAAUGAAACAGAAUAAGUCUUGUUUUUGUAUUUGGUCUUUUUCUUUUUCUCCAUUUUUGAUUGCUCUAGCAUAUUGUUAUUUAAAAAUUUUAAUGCUUGCUUGUAAUACUAAGCAAGCUUAGGUAGUUAUCAUAAUAAAAAAAGAAAAAGACACAUGCUUGUUAAAUUAAACGAGCUGGUGUUACGUACAGAAAGGAAAAAGUAAAAUGGAGUGCAUAUCUGUUUGAAUAAAAGGGGAACCUUCCUCUAAGACUAAAUAUAAUAUAUAAGCGAUAGCGAAUAGUACCGUGAGGGAAAGGAUUGAAAUAGUAAUUUUAUAAGCAGCUCAAAAAUAGUUUAAAUAAACAAUGAGAGCGUACCUUUUGCAUAAUGGGUCAGCAAGUUAAUAUUCGAUGCGAGCAACAAUGCAAAGAUAAAACAAUUAUGAUAUAAUGAUGUAGUAUCGAAAUUAGACCCGAAGCCUAGUGAUCUUACCAUGAUCAGGGUUAUAAAAGUCCGAACGGGUUAUCGUUGUAAAGAUAUCCGAAGAAUCGUGGUAAGUUAGUGAAAGACAAUUCUGACUAGGAUAGCUGGUUUUCUGCGAAACCUAUAUAAGUAGGUAAUUUAAAUAGAAUAUCAGAAGGUACAGAAUUGUGAUCUCAUGCAACCAGUAUUUAUUUUUAUAUUAAUCCGAAAAAUAACAGCUUGUUUGUGUGCUUAUAUUAGGUUAUGCUACGUAAGUAUUUAUGCAUGUAUGCAUUUUUUAGGGUAAUUUAUAAUAUAAAUAAAUAUAUACUUUUUGUGGACAUUGGGGGGUCGUGAAGACUCUAUCAGUGAGUAUUUGUUCUCGGAAGGACUAGAUAUGUAUAUUGAAUAAUCAGACAUAGUACGAUAAGGUUGUAUGUCUAAAGGGAAAUAGCCCAGAACAAGAGUUAAUAAGGUUCCAAAAUUUUUGUUAAGUGAAAUUAAGGCAGUAUUUAUCCCAAUCGGCCAGGGAAUAGGCUUAGAAGCGGCCAUUUUUUGAAGACCUCGUAACAGAGCACUGGUUUUCUCUUUUAUGGAUAAAAGCACCGAAAAUUUAACGGAUCUAAACAAAAUACCGAUACCUUGUCCAUAUAUAUUAAUGUGUAUAUUAUAUAUUGUAUAUAUGGGGUAGCGGAACAUUGGGUAGCUAUUUUUAAUCCUUUAUAAGGAUUAAUUUGUUUAGAGUUUAACUUAUUAUUCUCUGGACUAAACAAGCCCAAGUGAUAAUGCUGACAUGAGUAACGAUAAAGGAUCAACCAGGAUAGAUAGCAUCGCCUGGACAGAUAAUAUCACCAAGACAGAAAAUGUCAGAGAAUCCUCGCCUAAAGCUUAUGGAAUUUAUUAAAGUUACGGCCUCUAAGUUUAUUUUUUUUUCAUAACUUUCAACUAUUUAUAUGUAGAUGUUAAAUAUAUACUAGAUAUAAAUAUGUACUAUUUAUGUAAAUUACCUAGUGGUAUAAACGAUGAGAAAACCUAGAGUUUACAGUAAUUAACGUUUUUUAUUUACGUAGUAACCGAAAUUCCGCUUUUCCCCUUUAAUUAUUAUUUUAAUAAUUUAUUUUUAAAGGGAAAACGGAAGCUGUUUGCUAAUAUUUUAAGUAAAUUAAGUGAAAAAUGUUCUGGAAAACUGUAGGCUCCGUAAGUAAUAUAAAAUAAGUAAACGAAAAAUAUUUUGUAAGCUUACGCUAUAAUACCGUACCUAAAUACUAACACAAGUGAGCAAGUAGAGAAUACGAAGGCGUUCGAGCUAACAAUCAUUAAGGAACUCGGCAAAUUGACUCUCGUAACUUCGGGAUAAGGUGGACCAUUUCUUCUGAUUAAUAUCAGGCAAGAAACAGGAGGCAUAGAAUGGUGUUGUACGACUGUUUAAUUAAAACAAAGCACGCUGCGAAGAAAUAAAUUCGAAGUAUUGAGUGUGAUCUCUGCCCGAUGGCGGCUGGUUAACUAAUUUGCUUAGUUAAAUCUAAUAAGCUAGGCUUUGAUGGAAACCCCGUUCAAUGGCGGCCUUACCUAUAAGGGUCCUAAGGUAGCGUAAUACCUUGGCCGUUAAAUGCGGUCUUGCAUGAAUGAUGUAACGAUACAACAGCUGUCUCUAUGAUUGGCUCGGUGAAAUUGGAAUAACUGUGCAGAUACAGUUUACCUUUAGUUGGACGAGAAGACCCUAUGCAGCUUUACUGUUGCUAGUUACUGAAUAUGAUAUAAUGAGUUGUAGUGUAUAAGGUAAUUAAUAUAAAAUUGAAACACCUUUACUUCAUUUAUCAUAUUAUAUAAACCUUACAAGCAAAUCGCCAGUAAAGUCAAUAAAUAUGAUUGCUGGUUGUGAAAAUUGAUAGGAACAAUUGCUAGGUGGCAGUUUAUGCGGGGCACAGAUCCCAUAAAGAGUACCUGGGAGUAUCCAAAAUUGCUUAUCAAGUUUAACGGCUUAAUCUUGCUUUACUGUUUGACUUACAUGUCUUUCAGUUGCGUAAGCGGGGCAUAUGAUCACAAGAUGCAGAAAGGAAAGGUCUUGGAUUAUUGAAAAAGUUACGCUAGGGAUAACAGGCUAAUCCCGCCAGAGAGUUCAAAUUGAGUGCGGGGUUUGGCACCUCGAUGUCGGCUUAGCUCAUCCACAUGAAUGUAGGAGUCAUGAAGGGUCCGACUGUUCGUCGAUUAAAGAGCUACACGAGCUGGGUUAAAUACGUUGUAAGACAGUAUGGUUUCUAUCCUCUAAAGGAAGUUGGAAUAAAUUAAGGAUAGCCCCUUGUACGAGAGGAAUUGGGUAUAUUAACCUAUGGUUUACCUGUUGUUUGUAUUGCCAUAUUAUUGUAACUGAUAGAGAUAUUGUAUCCAUUUUGUUAUAGCCCCUGAGUUUAUAACCAAGAACGCAAUAUUCUGGGUGUCAUGGCUUAUGCUGGUAAUUACUUUUCACUAAAGUAAUAUUUACUUAGGCAGUAAGAAACUGAAAUAGAUGAUAUGUCUAGUAAAAAGGCACGGCAGGAAAGCUACGUUAGUUAAUGAUAAGUGCUGAAUGCAUAUAGGCACGAAACAUACCUUAGAAUAUUCUCAUAUAUACGUAGUUUAAUACUACAAUUU